ACUCAAAUGAAUUGACGGGGGCCCGCACAAGCGGCGGAGCAUGUUGCUUAAUUCGAGGCAACGCGAAGAACCUUACCUGGGCUUGACAUGUAGGGAAAAGCUCUAGAGAUAGAGUGUCCUUAGGGGCCCUAUACAGGUGGUGCAUGGCUGUCGUCAGCUCGUGUCGUGAGAUGUUGGGUUAAGUCCCGCAACGAGCGCAACCCUUGUCCUAUGUUGCCAGCGGAUCAUGCCGGGGACUCGUAGGAGACUGCCGGGGUCAACUCGGAGGAAGGUGGGGACGACGUCAAGUCAUCAUGCCCCUUACGUCCAGGGCUGCAAACAUGCUACAAUGGCCGGUACAAAGGGCUGCGAGACCGCGAGGUUGAGCGAAUCCCAAAAAGCCGGUCUCAGUUCGGAUUGAAGUCUGCAACUCGACUUCAUGAAGCCGGAGUCGCUAGUAAUCCCGGAUCAGCAACGCCGGGGUGAAUACGUUCCCGGGCCUUGUACACACCGCCCGU
Molecule: ribosomal RNA, 497 nt
Filed under: uncultured bacterium
Lineage: Bacteria
Description: partial 16S ribosomal RNA
Rfam family: Bacterial small subunit ribosomal RNA
Source: RNAcentral